AACCUAUUAAUUUGUUUGAAAAAAUAAGAUUAUGUUUAAAAAUGUGCUUUCUUUUCAGAUGCCGAAACCGAAUUGUCCCACAUUUGUUAAAUGUUCAGAAAAACCUGGUUACAUUUAGAAUGUACCUUCAAAUUCAGGAUUAUCAGUUCUCCUGCUUUGAAGAACAAUGCUGCUCUUAUUAAUUUUAACUUCAUUAAUACUGGGGGCGAUGUUUCUAUGAAAACGGAAACAUUCAUUUUUCCCAUACUUCGAUUCCCGAGAGGGAACCUGAGAAACGGCUACCACAUCCAAGGAAAGCAGCAGACAAGUAAAUUAGCCACUCCCAGAACGGGGAGGUAGUGACGAAAAAUAACAAUACGGAACUCUUUUGAUGUUCCGUAAUUGGAAUGAGUACUCUUUAAAUCUUUUAACGAGGAUCAAUUUGAGGGCAAGUCUGGUGCCAGCAGCCGCGGUAGUUCCAGCUCCAAUAGCGUAUAUUAAAGUUGUUGCGGUUAAAAAUGGCGUAGUUGGAUCUGAGUUCUAGACAGGUGGCCUACCUACCUGUGGUUACUGCCUGUUCUGAAUAGCCAGCCGGUUUCCUUUGAUGAUCUUCACCGGUUGUCUUGAGUGAUCGGCAAGUUUAAUUUGAAAAAAUUAGAGUGCUCUGAACGUAAAAAAGCUACCUGGUUGAUCGUGCCAGUAGUCAUAUGCUUGUCUCAAAGAUUAAGCCAUACAUAUCUAAGUGCAUGCCGUAUUAAGGCGAAACCGCGAAUGGAUCAUUA
This 761-nucleotide non-coding RNA is filed under the name Stegodyphus mimosarum. RNAcentral's name for it is "Eukaryotic small subunit ribosomal RNA". It matches the Rfam family "Eukaryotic small subunit ribosomal RNA", at positions 129 to 896 of the family's 1831-position model. Lineage: Eukaryota; Metazoa; Arthropoda; Arachnida; Araneae; Eresidae. The record is from Rfam by way of RNAcentral.